Molecule: transfer RNA, 75 nt
Filed under: Kribbella antiqua
Lineage: Bacteria; Bacillati; Actinomycetota; Actinomycetes; Propionibacteriales; Kribbellaceae
Also listed under: 1 other name
Rfam family: tRNA
About the family: Transfer RNA (tRNA) molecules are approximately 80 nucleotides in length. Their secondary structure includes four short double-helical elements and three loops (D, anti-codon, and T loops).
Source: Rfam by way of RNAcentral
GCCCUGGUAAUCCAAUCCGGCAGAGAUGAUGGUCUCAAACACCAUACAGUGUGGGUUCGAGUCCCACCCAGGGCA